This 252-nucleotide ribosomal RNA is filed under the name uncultured bacterium. RNAcentral's name for it is "partial 16S ribosomal RNA". It matches the Rfam family "Bacterial small subunit ribosomal RNA", at positions 524 to 776 of the family's 1533-position model. The record is from RNAcentral.
UACAGAGGUGGCAAGCGUUGUUCGGAAUUACUGGGCGUAAAGGGCGCGUAGGCGGCCUUCUAAGUCAGACGUGAAAUCCCCCGGCUUAACCUGGGAACUGCGUCUGAUACUGGGAGGCUUGAGUCCGGUAGGGGCCCACGGAACUCCUGGUGUAGCGGUGAAAUGCGCAGAUAUCAGGAAGAACACCGAUGGCGAAGGCAGUGGCUGGGCCGGUACUGACGCUGAGGAGCGAAAGCGUGGGGAGCGAACAGG